AGUGGAUGGGGAGCAACCUAGUUGUGCGUGUGUAAAGGUAGUGCCAAGAAAAGCGAUGAUCAUGUUGAAAAUCAAUUCCCGGUACCCGAAACCGACACAGGUGGGCAAGUAGAGAAUACUAAGGGGCGCGAGGUAACUCUCUCCAAGGAACUCGGCAAAAUGACCCCGUAACUUAGGGAGAAGGGGUGCCACCGAGAGGUGGUCGCAGUGAAGAGGCCCAGGCGACUGUUUAGCAAAAACAUAGGUCUCUGCAAACUCGAAAGAGGAGGUAUAGGGGCUGACGCCUGCCCAGUGCCGGAAGGUUAAAGAAGUUGGUCAGUUUUAGGAUGAAGCUAGCGACUGAAGCCCCGGUGAACGGCGGCCGUAACUAUAACGGUCCUAAGGUAGCGAAAUUCCUUGUCGGGUAAGUUCCGACCCGCACGAAAGGCGUAACGAUCUGGGCGCUGUCUCGGAGAGAGGCUCGGCGAAAUAGGAUUGUCUGUGAAGAUACGGACUACCUGCAUUUGGACAGAAAGACCCUAUGAAGCUUUACUAUAGCUUGGAAUUGUGUUCGGGCUUCCUGUGCGCAGGAUAGGUGGGAGGCGUAGAAGGUAUUCUUGUGGGGAUACUGGAGCCGACGGUGAGAUACCACUCUCAGGAGGCUAGAAUUCUAACUUAAUUAAGGACAGUUUCAGGUGGGUAGUUUGACUGGGGCGGUCGCCUCCAAAAAGGUAACGGAGGCGUACAAAGGUUCCCUCAGACUGGUUGGAAAUCAGUCGAAGAGUGCAAAGGCAGAAGGGAGCUUGACUGCGAGAAGUACAGUUCGAGCAGGGUGGAAACACGGUCUUAGUGAUCCGACGGUGCUGUGUGGAAGGGCCGUCGCUCAACGGAUAAAAGUUACUCUAGGAUAACAGGCUGAUCUCCCCCAAGAGUUCACAUCGACGGGGAGGUUUGGCACCUCGAUGUCGGCUCAUCGCAACCUGGGGCGGAAGUACGUCCCAAGGGUUGGGCUGUUCGCCCAUUAAAGCGGUACGUGAGCUGGGUUCAGAACGUCGUGAGACAGUUCGGUCCAUAUCCGAUGUAGGCGUGAGAAUAUUGAGAGGAGCCUUCCUUAGUACGAGAGGACCGGGAAGGAUGCACCGCUGGUGUACCUGUUAUGAUGCCAAUUGUAAACGCAGGGUAGCCAAGUGCGGAGAGGAUAACCGCUGAAAGCAUCUAAGUGGGAAGCCCACCUCAAGAUGAGUAUUCUGGUGUAAGGUCACGGGAAGACGACCCGUAAAUAGGCACGAGGUGGAAGUGCAGAGAUGUAUGAAGCCGAAGUGUACUAAUAGACCGUCGGCUUGAUC
Molecule: ribosomal RNA, 1325 nt
Filed under: metagenome
Description: bacterial LSU rRNA
Rfam family: Bacterial large subunit ribosomal RNA
Source: RNAcentral